AUGGAGGAGCGAGCUCCCAAACGGCGGCCACGCCGUCGACCCAGCGCCACCACCCCCUGUCCCCCGCCCGGCAUCUGUACUUGGCCGAGGCCGCGAUGCAUCGAUCCGGCGCGCAGGUCCUUGCUCGCAGCCGGUGGAGAGAGCGCGCGGAGCGGCGGAGCACUGCUCGUGACGGCCGGCCUCACAGUCACAGUCAAUGCAGGCAGUGUGCUUAGGAAUCUACAGCAGAGGUACCUAUCAAGCUUUGUUAGUCAGAGGGUACAGGGCGUGCAGUCUGGCACCGCUUCUCUUCCUAAUAAAGGGAUUCAUAGGAGUGAUCCACAAAGAGUUUUACACAACUUCAUCAAAAUACUGAAUCGAGGAAUUUCAAAUGCAGCAAGGGAGGAAGUAAGUGUUCUUAGCACAGGCAUUGCGCCGGUGUAUGUAGUGGAGAAAGGCCUGCUGAAAAAGCAGCUUCUGCGUACUUGUGGAGGCCUUGUAGUUACUGGCUCUGCAAUCUAUGGCAUUAAGGCUUUGAUUGAUAGUUAUAUUAAGGAUAUGGCUGAAAAUCUCGAAAACACAGAAGUUGGUAAAUCUGGUGGUUUGAAUGAAGUGGCCAUGGAGAUAAGCACAAAAUUCAGUGACGUAAAGGGGGUUGAUGAAGCCAAGGCUGAGCUUGAGGACAUAGUUCACUACCUACGAGAUCCCAAGCAUUUCACACGCCUUGGUGGCAAGCUUCCAAAGGGUGUUUUGCUUAUGGGCCCACCUGGCACAGGGAAGACCAUGUUGGCAAGGGCUGUGGCCGGGGAAGCCGGCGUCCCUUUUUUUCCGUGCAGCGGCAGUGAUUUUGAGGAGGUCUAUGUAGGUCUUGGGGCUAAGAGAGUGAGGGACCUCUUUCAUGCAGCAAAGCAGCUGUCUCCUUGCAUAAUUUUCAUCGAUGAAAUUGAUGGGAUUGGUGGGCGCAGACACGCAGGAGGUUUAAUGUCGGAGAGGCAGACCCUGAACCAGCUGCUUGUUGAGAUGGAUGGCUUCAAGCAGAAUGACGGGAUCAUCGUGGUCGCGGCGACCAACUUCCCCGAGUCAUUAGAUAGCGCCCUUGUCAGGCCUGGGCGUUUUGACCGUCAAGUCAAUGUCCCUAUUCCAGAUGUUGAGGGCCGACGACAGAUCCUUGAGGCUUACAUGUCAAAAGUGUCUACAGGCAAGGGUGUGGAUGCAAUGACCAUUGCGAGGGGAACGCCUGGGUUUUCAGGUGCAGACCUUGCAAGCCUAGUGAACGAUGCCGCUCUCAAGGCUUCCACGGAUGGGGCAAAUGCUGUCGGGACUGAUCACUUCGAGUACGCCAAGGACAAGAUCCUCAUGGGCAGCGAGCGCAAGUCGUUGGUGGUAUCUGAACAAUCCAGGAAGAAGACUGCGUACCAUGAGGGUGGGCACGCCCUUGUUGCUAUCCUCACAGACGGUGCUGAACCUGUCCACAAGGUCACCAUUGCGCCCAGAGGAAAUAGUCUCGGCAUGGUGGCGCAGCUGCUGGGGGAAGACAGUGAGCUGGAACUCUCCAAGAAGCAGUUGCUGGCGAUGCUGGAUGUGUGCAUGGGAGGGCGAGUGGCUGAGGAGCUUAUAUUUGGAGAAGCCGGGAUCACCACUGGUGUCUCAUCUGACCUAAGCAAGGCGACUCAAUUGGCGAAAGCCAUGGUCACCAGGUAUGGUAUGAGCAACCGGGUCGGCUUUGUUUCCUACGGCAAUGACGGUGAUGGUGGCGUUGGCAUGACAACGCCCCUGGUUGAUGAGGAGAUAAAAGCAUUAUUGGAUAACGCUUACCGGAACGCAAAAACGAUUCUCACGGAGCACAACAAGGAGCUCCAUGCGCUAGCAAAUGCCCUCCUGGAGCAUGAAACUCGCACUGGUGACCAGAUCAAGGAACUAGUUUCGACAGGACGACAAGCAGAUGGUCAUAACAAUAGCCAGCAAGAUCAUCAGGUAACACCUUCUCUCACCGGUAACGAGAUCGCCAAACUAGUAUCGACAGAAGAACAAGCAGAUGGUCAUAACAAUAGCAAGCAAGAUCAGGAAACGCCUUCUUCGCCCUAG
This 2064-nucleotide ribosomal RNA is filed under the name Triticum aestivum (bread wheat). Its description in RNAcentral is "partial small subunit ribosomal RNA". The record is from RNAcentral. Lineage: Eukaryota; Viridiplantae; Streptophyta; Magnoliopsida; Poales; Poaceae.